Molecule: long non-coding RNA, 555 nt
Filed under: Capsicum annuum
Lineage: Eukaryota; Viridiplantae; Streptophyta; Magnoliopsida; Solanales; Solanaceae
Description: long non-coding RNA (CANN_LNC007705)
Source: RNAcentral
AUUGUUGUUGACCAUUGUUAUGGUGGACUAUUUUGGCCAUGUGGUUUCUCCUUGAUGUUCUAAACUUGACCACGUGAUAUUGUUGUUACUUGGUGGCUUGAGAACCAUUUUGUUGAAGUUGUAGUUGUCUUGGCCAAGUGUUGGAGAUAUUGUUAUUGUGGAUUGGAGUUGGCCGUUGGAAUUUUUGUUGUUCUUGAAGAUUGUUGUUAUUGUUCUUGGUGUGGUUGUUGUUGUUCUUGAAGUUCUUCACCUUCCUUCAUAUAUUGUUAGAACAUAAAGUGAAUGUUAGAUCCUAAAAGGUGAAAGAAAAAAGGUGUAUGUACUUGUUAGUCUUGAAAGACCCCCAACUAACAAAAGACUUUAUAUCACUUAUCAACCAAUUUUCCAUGAUUUAAGGACCCAUAUUUUAAGGAGAAGUACAAUAAAAAGUCAAGUCUUGGAAAUUGAAAAAGGCCCCAAGACUUAUUUUCACUCCUAAAACAAAUUCCACCAAUCCAAAUUAAUUUUUUGACCAAGACUUGAACAUUUGAGAAUAACCACUUGAUAAAACCGAAC